Molecule: ribosomal RNA, 253 nt
Filed under: uncultured bacterium
Lineage: Bacteria
Description: partial 16S ribosomal RNA
Rfam family: Bacterial small subunit ribosomal RNA
Source: RNAcentral
GACAGAGGGUGCAAACGUUGUUCGGAAUUACUGGGCGUAAAGCGUGCGCAGGCGGUUCGUUGUGUCGGUGGUGAAAGCCCCGGGCUUAACCUGGGAAUGGCCAUGGAAACUGGCGAACUGGAGUGUGGCAGAGGGGGGUGGAAUUCCGCGUGUAGCAGUGAAAUGCGUAGAGAUGCGGAGGAACACCGAUGGCGAAGGCAGCCCCCUGGGCUAGCACUGACGCUCAGGCACGAAAGCGUGGGGAGCAAACGGG